RNAcentral lists this ribosomal RNA (468 nucleotides) under uncultured bacterium. RNAcentral describes it as "partial 16S ribosomal RNA". It matches the Rfam family "Bacterial small subunit ribosomal RNA", at positions 28 to 507 of the family's 1533-position model. The record is from RNAcentral.
GACGAACGCUGGCGGCGUGCUUAACACAUGCAAGUCGAACGGAAAGGCCCUGCUUUUGUGGGGUGCUCGAGUGGCGAACGGGUGAGUAACACGUGAGUAACCUGCCCUUGACUUUGGGAUAACUUCAGGAAACUGGGGCUAAUACCGGAUAGGAGCUCCUGCUGCAUGGUGGGGGUUGGAAAGUUUCGGCGGUUGGGGAUGGACUCGCGGCUUAUCAGCUGGUUGGUGGGGUAGUGGCUUACCAAGGCUUUGACGGAUAGCCGGCCUGAGAGGGUGACCGGCCACAUUGGGACUGAGAUACGGCCCAGACUCCUACGGGAGGCAGCAGUGGGGAAUAUUGCACAAUGGGCGGAAGCCUGAUGCAGCAGCGCCGCGUGCGGGAUGACGGCCUUCGGGUUGUAAACCGCUUUCGCCUGUGACGAAGAGUGAGUGACGGUAAUGGGUAAAGAAGCACCGGCUAACUACGUG